RNAcentral lists this unclassified non-coding RNA (20 nucleotides) under Mus musculus (house mouse). RNAcentral's name for it is "oocyte_clustered_small_RNA38". Lineage: Eukaryota; Metazoa; Chordata; Mammalia; Rodentia; Muridae. The record is from RNAcentral.
UGAGGAAUGAAUGAGCUGGA